UUAUAGGCUGUUUUCACAGCUAUACAACAGCAUUAUUUUAUUUAUCU
Molecule: non-coding RNA, 47 nt
Organism: Columba livia (rock pigeon)
Lineage: Eukaryota; Metazoa; Chordata; Aves; Columbiformes; Columbidae
Source: Rfam